UACCAGCACCCCGGGUGGUCGGGACGAUUAUUGGGCCUAAAGCAUCCGUAGCCGGUUCUGCAAGUCCUCCGUUAAAUCCAGCUGCUCAACAGAUGGGCCGCGGAGGAUACUACAGAGCUAGGAGGCAGGAGAGGCAAGCGGUACUCAGUGGGUAGGGGUAAAAUCCGUUGAUCCAUUGAAGACCACCAGUGGCGAAGGCGGCUUGCCAGAAUGCGCUCGACGGUGAGGGAUGAAAGCUGGGGGAGCAAACCGG
RNAcentral lists this ribosomal RNA (253 nucleotides) under uncultured bacterium. RNAcentral's name for it is "partial 16S ribosomal RNA". It matches the Rfam family "Archaeal small subunit ribosomal RNA", at positions 474 to 727 of the family's 1478-position model. The record is from RNAcentral.